Molecule: ribosomal RNA, 464 nt
Filed under: uncultured bacterium
Lineage: Bacteria
Description: partial 16S ribosomal RNA
Rfam family: Bacterial small subunit ribosomal RNA
Source: RNAcentral
CCUACGGGGGGCAGCAGUGGGGAAUAUUGCGCAAUGGGCGAAAGCCUGACGCAGCGACGCCGCGUGAGGGAUGAAGGUCUUCGGAUCGUAAAAUUCUGUCAGCAGGGAAGAACGGUCACUGUGCUAAUCAGCAGUGAAUUGACGGUACCUGCAAAGUAAGCACCGGCAAACUCCGUGCCAGCAGCCGCGGUAAUACGGAGGGUGCGAGAGGUAAGCGGAAUUACUGGGCGUAAAGCGCUCGUAGGCGGUAUGUCAAGUCAAGGGUGAAAUCCCCGCGCUCAACGUGGGAACUGCCUUUGAAACUGGCAAACUUGAGUGUGUGAGAGGAUAGUGGAAUUCCAGGUGUAGGAGUGAAAUCCGUAGAUAUCUGGAGGAACAUCAGUGGCGAAGGCGACUAUCUGGCACAUAACUGACGCUGAGGAGCGAAAGCGUGGGUAGCAAACAGGAUUAGAUACCCGUGUAGU